Molecule: long non-coding RNA, 1354 nt
Organism: Herpailurus yagouaroundi (jaguarundi)
Lineage: Eukaryota; Metazoa; Chordata; Mammalia; Carnivora; Felidae
Exons: 3
Source: RefSeq, a predicted model, not a curated record
AGCUCCUUGCAGCUCCCCUCUGCCUGCUGGAUGGGACGCUUCCCGAUUCAGGAAUUGCUUAAUAAAGCCAAUUACAUCUUCACAUUUACUCGUAAUCUCUUUGCCCAGUGUGGGGCUUGAACUCUCAACCCCAAGAUCAAGAGUACCAUGCUGUACUGACUGAGCCAGCCAGGCACCCCCGGCCAUAUGAAGGUUUACAGGAACUGCCACCCCCACUUGAAGCUGCUCAGGCUAGCCUGCUGGGGACACGUGACCCAUCCACUAGCAAGUGCCAACUGCCGUCUUAGACCAGCCAGCCGCAUUCAAGUCACUAGAUGACCACAGCCACGUGAGUGACCCCAAACAAAUGCAGCAGAGGAACCGCCCGACUGAUCCCGACCCAACUGGUGACCCACACAAUCGUGAGCAAAUAAAAUGAUUACCGCCUUAAGACGCUAUUUACUGGGAUGGCUUGCUGUAUAGCCAAGGUUAACAGAUACAGAGGAGAAUUAUGGAAAAAGGUCCUGUCCUUUUUCCAUAACUGGUGGAGUUGGUAGAAUAGGGACAUACAGUAUGGAUGGCUGGUGUUACUAAGGGACCACUUAAGAGUCCUACUCAUUGAGUUUAAGGACAUUCAGUCAGUCUGGUUGGGCUUUUUUCUAGCCACAUUCAGUUACAUGGGUGCAGGUGUGGUCUAGGGGAGAAAUGAAUAUAAUCAGGGUAGGGAUUUUUGCCAAGCAAGUACAACAAUGCCAGAGGAUCAGGUGGGGUGGACAUGUCUACAAGGGAAUCAUGAUCGUCAUUUACCAUGGGCUGCAACCUCAGAAAAUACAGGACAUCAAGGAGUUCAGAUGAAGUGAAAAGGUCGUUGGACCUUGUUAAAUUUCUACCAUGGGGGGUAAAGGUUUUUUUUUUUUUUUUUUUUUUUUUUUUUGGCAUCAGGACACUAGGGAGAAUGAACUAGAAAAAGAGGAAGUGGUGGUCAGAGAGUCUGGUACACGAAUUAGAGAUUAUGAAAAGAGAGUAGUUAUUGCGGAUGACAAGGUUUAUGACAUGACUAUAGCAAUAAGUGGCCGAAUAGAUAGGACAAGAUGGUGGGAGGAGAAACAGCAAGAAAGUAAGAGGCCAGGCUGUGGCAGGAUCAUCUAUGUGGAUAUUGAAAUCACCAGGAAUUAGGCCAGCGCUAAUACUGGGGAAGGUGGCCGUUGGCCAGGAGCUAAGAUAGUCAAGAAACGUCGGGUGGGGGUCCCUAGGUAACUGUAACAAGAAAGGAUCGUGUCGGGCCAUUAUGUGGUGGCAUUCGAUUCUAAGCUGGGGCAUUUAAGGGCAGAGGGCCAAGAGGAAGAAUGGCCUGGAAGUGUGAACAAGGAAGAAG